GAUGAACGCUGGCGGCGUGCCUAACACAUGCAAGUCGAGCGAACAGACGAGGUUGUUGCUCCUCUGACGGUAGACGCGGACGUGACAGGAACAUGAGGAGCACUUGCCUUCAAGACAGGUAUAACAUCCGGAAGCCGGUGCUAAUAACGGAUAAUUUCUUCAACCGCGUGGUUGAAUAGUGUAAGACGGUUUUGCUGUCACUUCUAGAUGUAUCCGCGCUGCAUGAGCUAUUUGGUAAGGAAACUGCGUACCAAGGCAACGCUGCGUAGCCGACCUGAGAGGGUGAUGGGCCACACUGGAACUGAGACACGGUCCAGACUCCUACGGGAGGCAGCAGUAGGGAAUCUUCCGCAAAGGGCGAAAGCUUGACGGAGCAACGCCGCGUGAGUGAUGAAGGUCUUCGGAUCGUAAAACUCUGUUAUUAGGGAAGAACAAAUGUGUAAGUAACUAUGCACGUCUUGACGGUACCUAAUCAGAAAGCCACGGCUAACUACGUG
This 497-nucleotide ribosomal RNA is filed under the name uncultured bacterium. RNAcentral's name for it is "partial 16S ribosomal RNA". It matches the Rfam family "Bacterial small subunit ribosomal RNA", at positions 28 to 507 of the family's 1533-position model. The record is from RNAcentral.